Molecule: ribosomal RNA, 787 nt
Filed under: uncultured Pelagibacteraceae bacterium
Lineage: Bacteria; Pseudomonadati; Pseudomonadota; Alphaproteobacteria; Candidatus Pelagibacterales; Candidatus Pelagibacteraceae
Description: bacterial SSU rRNA
Rfam family: Bacterial small subunit ribosomal RNA
Source: RNAcentral
ACGCCUAAUACAUGCAAGUCGAACGAAGUAGCAAUACUUAGUGGCAGACGGGUGAGUAACAUGUAGGUAUCUUCCCAUUGGUGAGGAAUAACACGAGGAAACUUGUGCUAAUACCUCAUAAGUCUUCACGGAGAAAGCUUUAUGCGCCGAUGGAUGAGCCUGCACUUGAUUAGUUAGUUGGUAGGGUAAUGGCCUACCAAGACAAUGAUCAAUAGCUGAUUUGAGAGGAUGAUCAGCCACAUUGGGACUGAGACACGGCCCAAACUCCUACGGGAGGCAGCAGUAGGGAAUCUUGCACAAUGGGGGAAACCCUGAUGCAGCGAUGCCGCGUGAGUGAAGAAGGCCUUUGGGUUGUAAAGCUCUUUCGUCGGGGAAGAAAAUGACUGUACCCGAAUAAGAAGGUCCGGCUAACUUCGUGCCAGCAGCCGCGGUAAUACGAAGGGACCUAGCGUAGUUCGGAAUUACUGGGCUUAAAGAGUUCGUAGGUGGUUAAAAAAGUUGGUGGUGAAAUCCCAGAGCUUAACUCUGGAACUGCCAUCAAAACUUUUUAGCUAGAGUAUGAUAGAGGAAAGCAGAAUUUCUAGUGUAGAGGUGAAAUUCGUAGAUAUUAGAAAGAAUACCGAUUGCGAAGGCAGCUUUCUGGAUCAUUACUGACACUGAGGAACGAAAGCAUGGGUAGCGAAGAGGAUUAGAUACCCUCGUAGUCCAUGCCGUAAACGAUGUGUGUUAGACGUUGGAAAUUUAUUUUCUGUGUCGCAGCGAAAGCAAUAAACACACCGCCUGGGGA